UCCUCCCACCAUAGUGGUGGGCCGGCACAGUCCCGCCUAUGCCAAAGAGGACCCCAAACCACAAGAGGGGUUGUUGCGGGGCACCCCAGGCCCCUCCAAGGAAGUGCUUCGGGUGGUGGGUGAGAGCGGUGAGCCUGUGAAGGCCUUUAAGUGUGAACACUGCCGCAUCCUCUUUCUGGACCACGUCAUGUUCACCAUCCACAUGGGUUGCCAUGGCUUCAGAGACCCUUUCGAGUGUAACAUCUGUGGUUAUCACA
This 257-nucleotide long non-coding RNA is filed under the name Rattus norvegicus (Norway rat). RNAcentral's name for it is "long non-coding RNA NONRATT026395". The record is from RNAcentral. Lineage: Eukaryota; Metazoa; Chordata; Mammalia; Rodentia; Muridae.